This 818-nucleotide unclassified non-coding RNA is filed under the name Onthophagus sp. LR-2015. RNAcentral's name for it is "sequence contains 5.8S rRNA gene, ITS2, 28S rRNA gene". The stretch from base 1 to 110 matches the Rfam family "5.8S ribosomal RNA", at positions 46 to 154 of the family's 154-position model. Lineage: Eukaryota; Metazoa; Arthropoda; Insecta; Coleoptera; Scarabaeidae. The record is from RNAcentral.
CAGCUAAUUGCGCGUCAAAUUGUGAACUGCAGGACACUUGAACAUCGACACUUCGAACGCACAUUGCGGUCUUCGGAUACUGUUCCUGGACCACUCCUGGCUGAGGGUCGUUUCAAUUUCCACGACUGCCGGGCGUUGUUGUAUGCACCGCUACGUACGGUGCUCGCCGAGGCAAAUAUAUGGCCGUUCGCGGUAAGUCCUAACGUCGUUCGUUUCGUAUAGCCCCGCACUAGUACGGAGGCGGCGGAACGCGUCUGAUGUAGGCUAUAUCGCGUCGGUUUAAAUUACCGCCACUAAAAUAAGGUUCGCGGCGAACAGCGUAUGUUGUGUUAUAUACGCCCGUCGGAACUCGACUGUGGUCGACGUGUCAGAGACAAGACCCCGAGGAUGAUGAARUGCUUUCGCAUAUUCGUUAUCCCGAGUUUUGCGUUGGGGGAACGGGUGUCGUCGCGUUAGUCAGGUAUAAAGUUUUACAGCGAUAACCGUGAGAAGAACGAUGACCACRAAGUCCGUCGUCUUCACACGUUAUUAUGUCGCGUUAACUUUACAUCAUAGACGGACGGACAGAUAACCACGUUUAACCAACCGUCGUCAGACCUAUCGGUUCGACAUUUGCCGCUGGUUUAACAACUUCGCUCGUCGCCCAUCGAAGCGACGGCUUAGUAGUAGAACCGGCGCGCGAAUAACGGGCGUGCCGUUUGUGUGACCAAAGGCGUGUUUGUAAAUUUUAUGAACGAUUUCUUCUUACGACGUAUCUCUUAGGAGGUGUUUAUAACGUACGAGGAAGAAACGCGACCUCAGAGCAGGUGAGACUACCC